RNAcentral lists this ribosomal RNA (468 nucleotides) under uncultured bacterium. RNAcentral's name for it is "partial 16S ribosomal RNA". It matches the Rfam family "Bacterial small subunit ribosomal RNA", at positions 28 to 507 of the family's 1533-position model. The record is from RNAcentral.
GACGAACGCUGGCGGCGUGCUUAACACAUGCAAGUCGAACGGAAAGGCCCUGCUUUUGUGGGGUGCUCGAGUGGCGAACGGGUGAGUAACACGUGAGUAACCUGCCCUUGACUUUGGGAUAACUUCAGGAAACUGGGGCUAAUACCGGAUAGGAGCUCCUGCUGCAUGGUGGGGGUUGGAAAGUUUCGGCGGUUGGGGAUGGACUCGCGGCUUAUCAGCUUGUUGGUGGGGUAGUGGCUUACCAAGGCUUUGACGGGUAGCCGGCCUGAGAGGGUGACCGGGCAGGUGGGGAAGGAGAGACGGCCCGGAAGGGGAGGGGAGGCAGCAGCGGGGAAGAGGGCAAGAGGGGCGGAAGGGUGGUGCAGCAACGCCGCGGGCGGGAGGAGGGGCGUGGGGGUAUAAACAGAUUAAGACUGUGACGAAGAGGGAGUGACGGUAAUGGGUAAAGAAGCAAAGGCUAACUACAUG